Molecule: ribosomal RNA, 380 nt
Filed under: uncultured eukaryote
Lineage: Eukaryota
Description: partial 18S ribosomal RNA
Rfam family: Eukaryotic small subunit ribosomal RNA
Source: RNAcentral
CAAUAGCGUAUAUUAAAGUUGUUGCGGUUAAAAAGCUCGUAGUUGGAUUUCUGUCGAGGACGACCGGUCCGCCCUCCGGGUGAGUAUCUGGCUUGGCCUGGGCAUCUUCUUGGAGAACGUGUCUGCACUUGACUGUGUGGUGCGGUAUCCAGGACUUUUACUUUGAGGAAAUUAGAGUGUUUCAAGCAGGCAUGCGCCUUGAAUACAUUAGCAUGGAAUAAUAAGAUAGGACCUCGGUUCUAUUUUGUUGGUUUCUAGAGCUGAGGUAAUGAUUAAUAGGGAUAGUUGGGGGCAUUCGUAUUUAACUGUCAGAGGUGAAAUUCUUGGAUUUGUUGAAGACGAUCUACUGCGAAAGCAUUUGCCAGGGAUGUUUUCAUUGA